UAAGAUGUGUUCGCAUU
Molecule: small RNA, 17 nt
Filed under: Bombyx mori (domestic silkworm)
Lineage: Eukaryota; Metazoa; Arthropoda; Insecta; Lepidoptera; Bombycidae
Description: ovarian small RNA-19218
Source: RNAcentral